This 303-nucleotide ribosomal RNA is filed under the name uncultured bacterium. RNAcentral's name for it is "bacterial SSU rRNA". It matches the Rfam family "Bacterial small subunit ribosomal RNA", at positions 355 to 675 of the family's 1533-position model. The record is from RNAcentral.
UGGGGAAUAUUGCACAAUGGGGGGAACCCUGAUGCAGCGACGCCGCGUGAGCGAAGAAGUAUUUCGGUAUGUAAAGCUCUAUCAGCAGGGAAGAAAAUGACGGUACCUGACUAAGAAGCACCGGCUAAAUACGUGCCAGCAGCCGCGGUAAUACGUAUGGUGCAAGCGUUAUCCGGAUUUACUGGGUGUAAAGGGAGCGUAGACGGCUGUGCAAGUCUGAAGUGAAAGGCCGGGGCCCAACCCCGGGAGUGCUUUGGAAACUGUGCGGCUAGAGUGUCGGAGAGGCAAGUGGAAUUCCCAGUG